CAAGGACUAGCCCAACCCCAUUACAACUCAACUCACACGACCCCCUAAAAUAAAACAUUCACCAACCAUUAAAGUAUAGGCGAUAGAAAUUCUACUCGGCGCUAUAGAGAUCAGUACCGCAAGGGAAAGAUGAAAGACUCCCCAAAAGUAAAAAACAGCAAAGCUUACCCCUUCUACCUUUCGCAUAAUGACUUAACUAGAACUAGCUGGCAAAGAGAACUUUAGUCAGCCCCCCCGAAACCAGACGAGCUACCCACGAACAGCCUAACAGGGCGACCUCCUCUAUGUGGCAAAAUAGUGAGAAGAUUCCUGGGUAGAGGUGAAUAGCCUACCGAGCCUGGUGAUAGCUGGUUGUCCAGAACAGAAUCUCAGUUCGAACUUAUGCCCUACCUAAAAACCCCCCCCAAUUCUAAUGUAGGCUUAAGAAGUAGUCUAAAAAGGUACAGCCUUUUAGACCCAGGGUACAACCUUAAUUAGCGAGUAAGCACGGCGUAAAUCCAUAGUAGGCCUAAAAGCAGCCAUCAAUUGAGAAAGCGUUAAAGCUCAACAACUAACCACCUUUUAAUCCCAAAAUAACAACGGCCAACUCCUAACAUCAAACUGGACUAUUCUAUUACGCAAUAGAAGCAAUAAUGUUAAUAUGAGUAACAAGAAAUAUUUCUCCCGGCGCAAGUUUAUAUCAGCAACGGAUGACCCACUGAUAGUUAACAACACGGCAAUUGCAGCCCACCCGUAAACCUGCCUGCCAACCACACUGUUAACCCAACACAGGUGCGCCUCAGGGAAAGAUUAACAGAAGUAAAAGGAACUCGGCAAACACAAACCCCGCCUGUUUACCAAAAACAUCACCUCUAGCCUAUCAAGUAUUAGAGGCACUGCCUGCCCGGUGACAUCCGUUUCAACGGCCGCGGUAUCCUGACCGUGCAAAGGUAGCAUAAUCACUUGUUCCUUAAAUAGGGACUGGUAUGAAUGGCCACACGAGGGUUUUACUGUCUCUUACUUCCAAUCAGUGAAAUUGACCUUCCCGUGAAGAGGCGGGAAUAAACCAAUAAGACGAGAAGACCCUAUGGAGCUUUUAAUUAGCCGUCCUAACAGAGCCCCUCACACUCGAAAGAACCAACAAGCUCUCAAUAGGACCCUAAUUUAGGUUGGGGUGACCUCGGACUACAGACCAACUUCCGAGCAGAACAAGGCCUAGACCCACCAGUCCAAGCCAAACCACUAUCUAUUGAUCCAAAACUUGAUCAACGGAACAAGUUACCCUAGGGAUAACAGCGCAAUCCUGUUUCAGAGUCCAUAUCGACAACAGGGUUUACGACCUCGAUGUUGGAUCAGGACAUCCUAAUGGUGCAGCCGCUAUUAAGGGUUCGUUUGUUCAACGAUAAAAGUCCUACGUGAUCUGAGUUCAGACCGGAGCAAUCCAGGUCGGUUUCUAUCUAUUUCCAAGCUUCCCCCAGUACGAAAGGACAAGGAAAGCGAGGCCCCCAUUGCAAAAGCGCCUCUAACACCAACGGAUGAUCUAAUCUCAACCCGAUACCUGUUAACCACUAUGCCCGAGAGCAGGGCUU
Molecule: ribosomal RNA, 1568 nt
Filed under: Macroderma gigas (Australian ghost bat)
Lineage: Eukaryota; Metazoa; Chordata; Mammalia; Chiroptera; Megadermatidae
Description: partial 16S ribosomal RNA
Rfam family: Bacterial large subunit ribosomal RNA
Source: RNAcentral